GCAGAGGAAUAUCCAACUUUAAAACCAUCGCUGUUAGAGGUUGCUUCCAUUCGGUUAAGCGGCCCAUGAAACGGUGAUGACCUGAGGAAUGGAACAU
RNAcentral lists this small nuclear RNA (97 nucleotides) under Eremothecium gossypii ATCC 10895. RNAcentral's name for it is "AgSNR42 (AGOS_AgSNR42)". It matches the Rfam family "Small nucleolar RNA snR42", at positions 247 to 347 of the family's 349-position model. Lineage: Eukaryota; Fungi; Ascomycota; Saccharomycetes; Saccharomycetales; Saccharomycetaceae. The record is from RNAcentral.